Cyanistes caeruleus (blue tit) is the source of this 4579-nucleotide long non-coding RNA. RefSeq lists it as uncharacterized. NCBI's taxonomy places the organism in Eukaryota, Metazoa, Chordata, Aves, Passeriformes, Paridae. The record is from RefSeq and is a predicted model, not a curated record.
ACAGAAACAACCCUUUUCUAUCAAGUUAGCAAAACUUUUCCUCGCUGUGUCCUCCGCCUUGACUCUGCCUCUGCAUUUUUUCUUCAUUAGCCAAUAGCCCUAAUGUGGGAAAAGUCUUUUGUCAAACAUGCAGGGAUUUUGCAAGUACUUUACAACUCCCACAUGUCAUCUUCCCUCCUGAGGCAGGAAAACAAUUCAGUCACAUUCUCCUUACAUCUGGACAGAAAAGCUGGUAGGAAUGAAUAAGAAAAGCAGCGUGGUUUUGCAAACCAUUCAGCUUGUCCUAGCUGCAGAAACCCUCCAGCCCCUUUCUCCAACCAACCUUUUCAUUCCUAGAACACCCACUCCUCUUUUGCCCCUGCUUUUCUCCCAGUGAGAGACUGGCCAGGGCACACACAAACACAGCACUCGCUUCGGUGGCUUUUUGGGCAGCGCAAUCCUUUCCAAACUUCUACUCCCCCCUGUGGCAGCUUGACGGGAAAAAAGAAAUAGAAAGUGCACUUCCCAAGUCAUGCACUCCACUGUCACUCUUUGCAAGCCAUUUAUCCGGAAAAAUAAAGAUACGUGAAGGUUUAGGUCAGUGGCUGCACUGUGCUUAUGAAGCCCUCCAGAGGCAUUACAGACCUAUACAGUAAGCCAACUCCUCCACUUCCUUUGGAAGGACUGUGUAAACAGAAAAGCCCACUACACCAAGGUCAGUGAACUGAGGUUGCAUCAAAAAUGGGGGAGACAUUUACCUCUUUUCUUUUCUCUGCAAAGAAACCACUCUGUCACCCACACAUGUAAAAGUAUUGAUCCUAUCCCAUCAGACAACAUGGAAAAUGUAUCCCACAGGAUUCUCCCCAGGUCUCUACUCCACAGCAGCUACAACAAAUAUUAAGAGAUCCCAUAGUUUAUGGCAAAGCAAACUGCAUUUGUUAAGGGAAGUCCCUAAUUUGGUCAAAUCUUAAUUAAACAUUGAUAUCUCAGCUUGGGCGAAAAAACCCUACAAACCCUCAAAACUUACACUGACAGCUCCUGAAAAGAAAGAAGCAGGUUGAAAAACUGAAAACAAGAUCACGUGCAUUGUAGACUAAGCAGAUCUGAUUCAUUCCUGCCCACAUAAUCCACGACAGAGUGGGAGGAAGUAUUCGUCCAGCUGUUUUCCACGUGGUUCCUCUGAGAAUCUCAAAAGGAUUUCUGGUGUAUGUUCUGAGUCAAUCCCUGGCCACAUUUCCUCUCCAGCCAGCAACACUGACUUUUUAUGAAUUGUUAACCAUUUAUGGGACAAUUGUCAAAGGAGUGGUUAGUGACUCACUGCAGCCCUACACAAGCUGACUUACUACAGCAAGAGGCUGCAAACCUCAGUCAAAUCUGAGAAAUAAACAACUGAAAGCUUCUCCCUCCUUACCCACCUUUGCAAGCCAUGGAAGGGUUCUAGCUUACACAGAAAAAUCCAGAACACUGCCAGCCUCCUCACAGAAGUAGUGAAUGCUGCUCCCUGCAGUGCUUCUAAGACCAGAUCUGUGGCAAAUUUUUCGGAAAAAGAUAAACUGAAUCUGAGGCUUGAUAGGCAAAGGGUAUCUGGCUUCACAGUACUCAUAAUCUCAUUUUCCUACAAAUAAUUUUACAUGUGCUUUGAGUACCCCUUUAGAUUAUUCUACUUCCAGUAAUCACUUUGCUGGUUUAAGACCACAUACAUUCACAAAAACUCCAGUUACUUUUUAAGAAUAAAGCCGAGUGCUUAAAGCAGCAUUGUGAGGGACUCUGGAAGUAACAACAUAUUUGCAUUUUAACACAUAAAGAACAACAUUAUGGAAAACAACAAAACUCAAGUUUGCUAAUGGGAAUUGCAUCUGAUGAUUUUGCUUUAGCCCAAUGAGCCUGGACUUUUCAAGUCACAGUAUUAUGAUGGUCAACAGUGCAUUUAGUGAACUACCCAAGUGAUGCCAGCAGAGGAUCUGAACCAGUAUCUUGAGGAACUUGGACUAGGUCCACCAUUUCAGGAGCCAACAUUUCCAUAGGCCCUACACCAUCCUCUGGUUCUCCCUGCCUUCUUUUUCUGGUUCACUUUGGAGAAGAGCUAAUGGCUUUCAUUAGUAAGAUUAGUUGAAGUUAAUUGUCAUGGCUCCAAGGUGAAAGGAGCCACUUGAACCGAGCAGAAAAAAUUGCACAACACGGAUAAGUUGCUUGACAGAUCCUGGAAAAGAUGGUCUUUUCUUUGCCUUUGUUGAUUCAUGAGAUCACGCAUCUCCCCAGAAAAGGAUGAGUAAAAGUUUAGAAAGUGGUUUGCUUCAGAGCCCUUUCUUUCUAUGCCUACAGAUACAUAGAAUAAACUACCAGAUGACUUCUAAGAAAGAGAAAUACCAGGCAACCACAUUCAUGAUGGAAUAAAUCUCUUUAUUUUUAUUCUGUGUCUAUUUCUGAGCUAGCAGAGUAAGUCUUGGAAUCUGCGUUAUAAGCAAAAGCCUACUAACGUAACUUUAACCAGACCUCUCAGAAUUCUGAGAUGUAUUUAUUACAAUUUUAAAGAAAUAUCCUGGUGAGCAUUUUGAGAAAGGAACUAAUUGGCACACUAAACCUGAGGCAAGCCAGAAAUGUCCGAAGCCAGCUACGAGCCUAUCGUGAUGAUAAACAGCUCAGGGUCCAGAUGUCCAUAUAUGGCAAGACUUCCUAUAAGACUGACAGUACUGUAUGUGCAUUGCGUAUGGUUGUUGGAUCAGAUUCACAUUCCUCGGGUAUGUUUCUCUAGGAGCUUUUGAUUUCCGCUUUGAGGGCUGGCUCAGACCUCCAAUUGCUCUUAUAAAAAAAUAUCUGUGACUGAAAGUUGAAAAUGUGCAAGAUUCUUUCUUUAAGUACACAAACACUCCAAGUCUAGCCACUUUCCUGUAGUCUUGCCAGGUUUUCACUAUGUCUGAUACCUGAUCAAGUGACUUUUUGGGGGGAAGCAGGGGAAAAAAAAAAAGAAAAAAAGAAGAAGGAAAAACACAAGACAGGAAUGUAGCAAUCCACACCUGUACAUUUUACAAGACUUCACCAACUGAAGCUGAUGUAGACACACACAUAACUGUAUAUAGCUGUGUAAACAAGUCUGCAAGGCUGGUGUAGUGAAUUCCUAGUUUCAGCAGAAAAAAUAUACUAUCUUAAAAGCAUGUGCUGUAUAAACACCUGCAUGGAAGUCAAAAUUAGUGCAUUUUAACCAUUUUAUGCAUCAGUGCCAAGAUGUACUUGUCCAACCUGCGGCAUACUCAAGAGGCACCUGGAAGUGGCAUCCGCGGAUAUGGUUUAGGGAUGAUUAUGGUGGGGUCACGUUGCCAGCUGGACUAAAUGAUCUUGAAGGUCUCUUCCAACCUUGAGGAUUCUGUGAUUGUCAUCAGAAAGAACAAGCUGAAGACUGAUUGGAGUCUUCAAGAGCUGCCUUUGCUUCUAAGCUCCCUUUGCCCCUGUGCAUACAUACACACACACACCAAUGAGGCACCCAUUGUGACACAUCUGACAACACAGAAAGCAGGAUGACCAAAAGGCACUGCUGCAAACUCUGAUUCUUCCCUACCUGCAUGUGCUGGUACAAUUUGUAAUUUAGUGGGCUAAUGCCUGAUCCACAGUGGUGAAAGACCAGAAUUAGUUCUGAAUUCUAAUAACUAUUCAAGCCGUUUUUCUCAGGGUAGCAAGUGUAUGGGGCUUGGUGUUCUUGGCCUGCAGUGGAGGGACUUAGGACAGAUUUAUCCUUUAAUUUUGGAUUUCCUGGCUUUCUGGUAGUUUGUUACUUUUAAACAUACUUUUUCUGUCACUGAGAUUCUUAGGUUUUGUUUAAUAAAAUGGUAUCUCUGAAAAAAACCUCUUACAUGGAAAGUUAUAAAACAUGUCUAGAGCCUCUCUCUCUCUGAUGUUCUCCUACCAUAUUUAGUCAUUUAAAAAAGGCAUUCUGUUUACCUGGUUACAUUUGCAUUUUGGUAUGCAUGUCAUACAUAGUUUGGUACACAUACUAUUUACCCAGCACUGAGGCCACUGGAGUCCUUCAAGUAAAUACAGAUUUUAGGAGACCUCAUGGUUUUGGGAACAUAUAUUAUUUACCAUAACUGUUCCUCUGAGAUUCAUUUUUUCUUUCAAAGCCAAGCUCAUUUCUUUUAAUGGAGAAUUUCAAGUAGAAGAAAUGACAUCCAAAUGACUUUACCAGACACAGUACAAUGUUGGCAGAAUAUAAGUAGCAGUUUUACAGCACAAUGGUCCUACUGGGACAUUACAUGGAAGACCUUCUUUUCCCCUCAUGAAUCCUGUUUUAUUGCUGCAUCAUAGCAUGGACAAAUGCCUAGAUAUAGAGGGAUGGAAAGAAGUGGGGAGCAAGGGAGAAUGGCAGUGGGGGAAAGCCUGCAUACAAAAGAUGAGAUCUCUUAAGGUAACUACCAGAUUUUAGAUGCAUUAAGCCAGUCUCUCUUACUAAGCACUAACAUACUUCCACAGGUCAAAAGCCAAAACAUUGGCAUUCCUUGCGUUAAAGUGGAGGUCAAACAACAUGACAUCACUGAAUAUUCAAAUCAUACACAGGAGGCAGGGGAAGAGCCAUCCUCACGGUUAAAAAAAGAAAAAGAAAAAAAAAAAA